This 224-nucleotide long non-coding RNA is filed under the name Elaeis guineensis (African oil palm). RNAcentral's name for it is "long non-coding RNA (EGUI_LNC057099)". Lineage: Eukaryota; Viridiplantae; Streptophyta; Magnoliopsida; Arecales; Arecaceae. The record is from RNAcentral.
UUUACACGAGAAACCUUUUCUCGUGUGGAGGAAGUGGCACACAAAUGGAUAAGGUGGCGCAUGGGAUUAGUUGUCCAUUCAAAUUCAAACUUCAUUUGAAUUUGAAUGGCCAACCAACCAUCUUUAUCCACUCAAAUGGUGCACAUAGGUGCGGCAUGGGAAGACUUCUGCAUGGGAGAAAAUUCAUGAGAACUCGUUUCUCGUGAAUUCAAAUGGGUGCAGGU